AUACUUACCUGGACGGGGUCUAUGGCUGAUCAAGAAGAGCCAUGGCCUAGGCAAGUGGCCCACAUUGCACUUUGUGGGUGCGUUGGCUUACCAUCUCCCUUUUGAGGGAGAGUGGACGUCAUAAUUUGUGAUAGAGCGGGUACGCGUUCGCGCGGCCCCUAC
Hordeum vulgare subsp. vulgare (domesticated barley) is the source of this 162-nucleotide non-coding RNA. The record is from Rfam. NCBI's taxonomy places the organism in Eukaryota, Viridiplantae, Streptophyta, Magnoliopsida, Poales, Poaceae.